Homo sapiens (human) is the source of this 361-nucleotide long non-coding RNA. RefSeq lists it as uncharacterized. Lineage: Eukaryota; Metazoa; Chordata; Mammalia; Primates; Hominidae. The transcript has 3 exons. The record is from RefSeq and is a predicted model, not a curated record.
AGCAUUGGAGCUAUGAGAAGAGACAUCCCUCCCAAGGCUAUUGUGAGCCUUGUGACACAAGUCCAAGACCUUGCACAUAAGAGGAGGUACUUAGAAAUCUGCCCCAUGGAGAGGUCCAAGCUGCAAGAAACUGAUACCUUCACCUAACAGCCGGUGAGGACCUGAGGUCUGUCAACAGCCACCUGCGUGAUCUCGGAGGCAGAUCCUCUUCUAGCUGAGCCUGGGGAUGACUGCAGUCCUGGCCAACGCCCUCAUGACAGCCUUGUGUGAGAGACCCCGGGCCAAAGGGAUGCAGAUAAGCCACACUUGGAUUCCUGACUCACCGCUGGAGUGCAAUGGCGUGAUCUCGGCUCACUUCAAC